AUGGGGAACCCUGGUGCAUUUCAUCAUUCUAUUACCCUACAAUCCUUCACUGUCUUCUUCCUUCUUGCUGUUUUUGUAGCAGAUUAUCAUGUCCAGGGAGGAGAUGAUGGAUGCUCACUGUUCUCCUGUGGACAUCUCCGAGACAUAUCAUAUCCUUUCCGUCGGCGAGGUGAUCCUCAUGAGUGUGGUGUUGAAGAAUACGAGCUGGGUUGCACCAGUAGCAAGGCUACAAUUCACAUCAACACGGGAACAUACUAUGUGACUGCCAUCAACUACACUGGUUCCUACUUCUGGGUCAUGGAUACCAACUUCAAUACCAGUAGCAGCUGCCCUCUUCCAUUGUGGAAUCACAUUCCUUACUUUGGAUAUUACGGCGACACUGAUUCAGUUUCACCACCUGGCUUUCGUUAUUUGCUCACUCAAAGUUCCUACGAAGCAUGUUUUUGUAAUUGUUCACGAGCAGUAACAGAUAAUAGUAGAUACAAGCCCGUUGCUUGCCUGAGUGCCAACAAUUCAUAUGUUUAUGUCUGGGUGUCUGGUUCAUGUGUGGUUGAAGAUCUUGAACCUUAUUGUGGAUACCUGGCCAAGAUUCCAUUUGGGGAUGAGUACUCUUCUUAUUGGCGACAGCUACAGAAUGCAAGUUAUGCAGAAAUCACACAGCACAUUUCUAAGGGGUUUACUGUCCAGUUUCCUGUCCCGGUUUACUUGGAACCUUCUGCAUCUGAGCAGUUAAGAAAGAACAUCAACUUAUGCCUCAACAAUUCAAUCAGCUACUUCAAGGAGCAAAUAUCUGGCACAAGCAUUAUUAAUUGGACUCAUGCUAUUUUCUGGAGUGAGGUGCACUUCUUAGAAUGCGUGACUCAGGAUGGUAACGAUCACAUCCACACAGCAAAGUUGGUUUUGAUUGUUGCAACCAUAGUAUCUGCUAUUGCUAUCCCCAAGUUCUUUUUUGUACUGUGCAGGUUCUUGUUGGCACCCCUGGCUGUAUGGAUAUUCCUAGCCUACAAGUACAUGAAAACAAGGAUCAUAAUUGAUGCAGUUGAGAAGUUCCUCAGGAUUCAACAAAUGAUUGGCCCGGCGAGGUACUCCUACACAGAUAUAGUUGCAGUCACAAGCCAUUUCAGAGAUAAAUUGGGCCAAGGGGGCUAUGGUACCGUGUACAAGGGCGUGCUACUCCCAGGCGAUGUCCAUGUCGCCGUGAAGAUGCUAGAGGGCAACUCCAACUGCAAUGGAGAAGAUUUCAUCAGCGAGGUCUCCACCAUCGGCAGGAUCCACCAUGUCAACGUGGUGCGUUUGGUGGGGUUCUGCUCGGAGGAAAUGCGAAGGGCCUUAGUCUACGAGUACAUGCCCAAUGGCUCUCUAGACAAGUACAUCUUCUCUGCUGAGAAGAGCUUCUCAUGGGACAAGCUCAACGAGAUCGCUCGGGGCAUUGCCAGGGGGAUCAACUACUUACAUCAGGGGUGCGACAUGCAGAUUCUACACUUUGACAUCAAGCCGCACAACAUCCUUCUCGACAGCAAUUUCAUCCCAAAGGUCGCCGAUUUCGGGCUCGCCAAGCUGUAUCCGAGGGGUGACAGUUUCGUGCCACUAAGUGCCAUGCGGGGAACCAUCGGCUACAUAGCCCCCGAGAUGAUAUCCCGGAGCUUCGGCGUCAUAUCCAGCAAGUCCGACGUGUAUAGCUUCGGGAUGCUGCUGCUGGAGAUGGCCGGCGGGAGAAGGAACGCUGAUCCAAACAUGGGGUCCUCAAGCCAGGCGUACUACCCGUCAUGGGUGUAUGACCAGCUGACUCAAGAAGAAGCGGGCGAGAUAUCUCCAGUUGCUGCCAACAUGCACGAGCUGGAGAAGAAGCUGUGCGUUGUCGCAUUAUGGUGUAUUCAGAUGAGGUCUCGUGAUCGGCCGACGAUGAGCGAGGUCAUUGAGAUCCUGGAGGCUGGGUUUGAUGGCCUACAGAUGCCUUCGAGGCCGUUUUUCUGCGACGAAGGGCACAACCAUGUGGAGGACUCUUACCUUUUCAGUUCCGAGCUGACGGCGGUCUCGGAGGAGGAACUGUCUGUGGUGUCCGAGGAAGACGAUGUGUGA
RNAcentral lists this ribosomal RNA (2079 nucleotides) under Triticum aestivum (bread wheat). RNAcentral's name for it is "partial small subunit ribosomal RNA". The record is from RNAcentral. Lineage: Eukaryota; Viridiplantae; Streptophyta; Magnoliopsida; Poales; Poaceae.